CGUAGGGGGCAAGCGUUGUCCGGAUUUAUUGGGCGUAAAGAGCGUGUAGGCGGCUUGGCAAGUCCGCUGUGAAAACUCGAGGCUCAACCUCGAGACGUCGGUGGAAACUGCCUCGCUAGAGUCCGGAAGAGGAGAGUGGAAUUCCUGGUGUAGCGGUGAAAUGCGCAGAUAUCAGGAAGAACACCCGUGGCUAAGGCGGCUCUCUAGUACGGUACUGACGCUGAGACGCGAAAGCGUGGGGAGCGAACAGGAUUAGAUACCCUGGUAGUCCACGCCGUAAACGAUGGGUGCUAGGUGUGGGCGGUGUCGACUCCGUCCGUGCCGAAGCUAACACAUUAAGCACCCCGCCUGGGGAGUACGGCCGCAAGGCUA
RNAcentral lists this ribosomal RNA (372 nucleotides) under uncultured organism. RNAcentral describes it as "bacterial SSU rRNA". It matches the Rfam family "Bacterial small subunit ribosomal RNA", at positions 526 to 896 of the family's 1533-position model. The record is from RNAcentral.